Long non-coding RNA from Spinacia oleracea (spinach), 931 nucleotides. RefSeq lists it as uncharacterized. The transcript is spliced from 3 exons. The record is from RefSeq and is a predicted model, not a curated record. Lineage: Eukaryota; Viridiplantae; Streptophyta; Magnoliopsida; Caryophyllales; Amaranthaceae.
AGAUGUCUCUUCACGAGCAUACUCUCUCCUCCAACCCUCAACCCUCAACCCUCAACCCCCAACUCUCUCCUCAAACCUUAAACUCUGGAAAAUUAAUAAAUCCAAAUUGCAUCAACCAAUUUCAUCCAUCAAUUAUGAGAUUUCAAAUCUCAAAUUAAAAUCAAUCAAACGACGCUUCUUCUCUUUCGUAGUCAUGUGUCAUUUAUCCUUGCUCACAAAAUUACAGUUUCUUUCUCAUUUUCCUUCUCCAAAAAAGUCAGUUUCUAAAUUUUUUGUUUUUCCUUUCCUACUCCCUUCGCCAAUUCAAUCCAUAUUUAUUUCUCUACCCCCGUCUUCCUCCAGUUCUGAUUUUUCGAGAUUAAUUAAAUUGCAAAGCAGGCGAGACUAAUUAACAGUAAUUUUGCAAAGCAUAUGAAUUCCAAAUUUAUGAACAGAUAAAAACUUGAAAUCAUGGCGGCCGAAGCUUCAAAGUCGACUUCAUCCGCCAUCUUACAUCGGCAGUGUUAUUAGUUUGACAUCUAAGAGUGAGAUCAGAUAUGAAGGCAUUCUCUACAGCGUUAACACUGAAGAAUCCAGUAUUGACCUUCGAAACGAUUAAAGGGAAAAGAAUAAGAUUCAAAUAUCGACAACAUAGCAAAGGAAUAGGGCCAUGGGUAUGGAAUGCAGGACGUCAACAAAAUGAGGAUAAAAUGUUUGUUUCUUAUAUUAGGUGUACUGAACAUUAAAAGCUAAAAAAUGAAUAAUUUUAGAUUGUAACUAUUCUGUUUGAUUUUAUCUGUUAUGUUUGGUAUAACUAUUAAAGAAUGUAAUACUAAAACUGUUGUUCAAAGAAUUUAACUUCUAUGUAACUAUUAGAAUAAUGAGACUUCUCUGUAAAUACUACGAGUACAAAUUAUUAUUCAAUAAAACAAUUUUUUUUUUAAAAAACAAA